UUAUGAAAUAAAUCAGAUUCAAAAAUCAAGUGCAAAUGAAAGGGACAAAGGCUGCUGAAAGCUGUCGGACGCUUGGAUCGGACGUCCGAUAAUCAUUGCGCAACUUUGGACGCAUGAAGAACUCCACCACCGGACAUCCGAAGAAAAUAAGACAUUUCCCCUGACUCACUGAUCUCGAUCGGACGCAAGCAUCGGACGUCCGAUAAGAUCGUUCAAACUCGACGAAAGCUGUCGGACGCUCACAAAGACAAUACCGGACGUCCGAUAGAAUUGAAAUAUUUCUUCUAAUUCAUUGCCUGCUUUCAGACGCAAGCACCGGACGUCCGAUAGAAUUGAAAAAAAAUUUUCAAACUUACUGCCUGCUGUCGGACGCAAGAAACCAGACUACCAGACGCCCGAUACUCCAACGGCUAGUUGACUCUUCAUCUACUUUCUAUCCGUUGGAAGCAUUAAUGAAGCACUUUCUUGGUCUCCUAUAAAUAGAGUAUGGUCAGAAAGUUCAAAUAAUUUUUGCACACUGAAAAUACAAAAGAUCUAGAGUAGUUUUAGUGAGAAAACACUCUCCAAGGAAGAUUUGUAGUCUUAGUGGUGUGAGAUUCAUUGCAAACUUUUCAUUUGUGAGUGAAUAGUUCAUGAGUGUAGCUCUGUGAGGGUUGUCCUGAGGGAUAGUAAAACUUCUUAACUUGACCGAGUGGAGUUCGGGGUAAGGAGGAGGUGAACCUUUCUUUGUACACAAGAGUGAUUGUAAUUCAUCAACUUGAAGAAGCUUGUUUGAAUUAAUUUACAAGCUCAAGAGGAGUUGGGUAGUUAAUUGAUUUGCAAUUCUUUCCUUUUUAUUUACUUAUUGUUACGUUUGUGAUCUUUACAUUGCUUAUCUCUUCUACUUCUCUCAAGUGAUUUUGUUCAUUCAUUAAUUGAUUCAUUGUGUGAUCACUUAGAAAAGAGAGUAAAUUUCAUAUUGAGCAAAAAGUGCCCACAACUUAAUUAGGUUUUUAAUCAACCUAAUCCACCCCCUCGUAGGUUAUUUUCGAUCCUUACAAUUGGUAUCAGAGCAUCAUUACAAUUGGUGAACAUCAUUAAGGAAUCAAAAUAGUUCGUAGACAAUUGAUACUCAAGACACAUGACCGGUGGUCCAUCACAUUUCAUCAAACUCAAACCAAAAUCAAGUCGCAAAGUGACAUUUGGAAAUGAUAUAAAAGCAAAAAAUUAGAGUAAGAGAUGUUGGUAAGAAUGAUCAGAUUUUUGUUCAUAACUUUCUUUUGUAAUUUUUUUUAAUGUUUAUGAUAUUUUGAACUGAGUUUCCUUUGAUAUUUUUAAUAAUUAAUGGAUUUCGAUUGAUAUGAAUGUGGAUAUGAAUGUUGGUUUCAUUGAUGUUCAUUGUUAUUGUUUGGUCUCUUUUGAUGUGAUUUUUCUGUUAUUGACUGAUGAUGGUUGCAGCUACUGUUCUUUUUAUGGCAAUUACUCUCUACUUUUAUAAUGACAAAAAGGGAGAGAAAUUGUAAAAUGGAUGUGGUUUGGGAUGCUAUUAGUAAGGGGGAGUUCAUUUGAUGCUGGUUUGGGAUACUAUGAGUAAGGGGGAGUUUCUUCUCAUUUUCCUUCCAUCCAUCCAUUAUUUUGUCAUCAUCAAAAAGGAGGAGAAUGUUGAUCUUGAUCCCUAUCUUUUGACAUUUACAAAAUAAUGGAUAAUAUUAAUAUCUCUUCAAAAAAUAUUUUCAGUUAUGAAGCAAAUCAGAUUCAAAAAUUAAGUACAAAUGAAAGGGACAAAGGUUGCUGAAAACUGUCGAACGCUUGGAUCGGACGUCCGAUAAUUAUUACGCAACUUCGGACGCAUGAACAACUCUAUCAUCGGACGUCCGAAGGAAAUAAGACAUUCCCCCUGGCUCACUGACCUCGAUCGGACGCAAGUAUCGGACGUCAGAUAGGAUCGUUCAAACUCGACGAAAGCUGUCAGAC
This 1953-nucleotide long non-coding RNA is filed under the name Coffea arabica (coffee). RNAcentral's name for it is "long non-coding RNA (CARA_LNC001713)". Lineage: Eukaryota; Viridiplantae; Streptophyta; Magnoliopsida; Gentianales; Rubiaceae. The record is from RNAcentral.